GCGGCGUGCUUAACACAUGCAAGUCGAACGGUGAAGAGGAGCUUGCUCCUUGGAUCAGUGGCGAACGGGUGAGUAACACGUGAGUAACCUGCCCUUGACUCUGGGAUAAGCACUGGAAACGGUGUCUAAUACCGGAUACGAGCUUCAGCCGCAUGGCUAGGAGUUGGAAAGAAUUUCGGUCAAGGAUGGACUCGCGGCCUAUCAGCUAGUUGGUGAGGUAAUGGCUCACCAAGGCGACGACGGGUAGCCGGCCUGAGAGGGUGACCGGCCACACUGGGACUGAGACACGGCCCAGACUCCUACGGGAGGCAGCAGUGGGGAAUAUUGCACAAUGGGCGCAAGCCUGAUGCAGCAACGCCGCGUGAGGGACGACGGCCUUCGGGUUGUAAACCUCUUUUAGUAGGGAAGAAGCGAAAGUGACGGUACCUGCAGAAAAAGCACCGGCUAACUACGUGCCAGCAGCCGCGGUAAUACGUAGGGUGCAAGCGUUGUCCGGAAUUAUUGGGCGUAAAGAGCUCGUAGGCGGUUUGUCGCGUCUGCUGUGAAAACCCGAGGCUCAACCUCGGGCCUGCAGUGGGUACGGGCAGACUAGAGUGCGGUAGGGGAGAUUGGAAUUCCUGGUGUAGCGGUGGAAUGCGCAGAUAUCAGGAGGAACACCAAUGGCGAAGGCAGAUCUCUGGGCCGUAACUGACGCUGAGGAGCGAAAGCAUGGGGAGCGAACAGGAUUAGAUACCCUGGUAGUCCAUGCCGUAAACGUUGGGAACUAGAUGUGGGGACCAUUCCACGGUCUCCGUGUCGCAGCUAACGCAUUAAGUUCCCCGCCUGGGGAGUACGGCCGCAAGGCUAAAACUCAAAGGAAUUGACGGGGGCCCGCACAAGCGGCGGAGCAUGCGGAUUAAUUCGAUGCAACGCGAAGAACCUUACCAAGGCUUGACAUAUAGAGGAAACGGCUGGAAACAGUCGCCCCGCAAGGUCUCUAUACAGGUGGUGCAUGGUUGUCGUCAGCUCGUGUCGUGAGAUGUUGGGUUAAGUCCCGCAACGAGCGCAACCCUCGUCCUAUGUUGCCAGCACGUAAUGGUGGGAACUCAUGGGAUACUGCCGGGGUCAACUCGGAGGAAGGUGGGGAUGACGUCAAAUCAUCAUGCCCCUUAUGUCUUGGGCUUCACGCAUGCUACAAUGGCCGGUACAAAGGGCUGCAAUACCGCAAGGUGGAGCGAAUCCCAAAAAGCCGGUCUCAGUUCGGAUUGAGCUCUGCAACUCGACCUC
This 1266-nucleotide ribosomal RNA is filed under the name Cryobacterium psychrotolerans. Its description in RNAcentral is "bacterial SSU rRNA". It matches the Rfam family "Bacterial small subunit ribosomal RNA", at positions 39 to 1319 of the family's 1533-position model. Lineage: Bacteria; Bacillati; Actinomycetota; Actinomycetes; Micrococcales; Microbacteriaceae. The record is from RNAcentral.